This 460-nucleotide ribosomal RNA is filed under the name uncultured bacterium. RNAcentral's name for it is "partial 16S ribosomal RNA". It matches the Rfam family "Bacterial small subunit ribosomal RNA", at positions 338 to 795 of the family's 1533-position model. The record is from RNAcentral.
CCUACGGGAGGCAGCAGUGAGGAAUAUUGGUCAAUGGGCGAGAGUCUGACCCAGCCAAGUAGCGUGAAGGAUGACUGCCCUAUGGGUUGUAAAUUUCUUUUAUAAGGGAAUAAAAUGAUCCACGUGUGUGUUUUUGUAUGUACUAUAUGAAUAAGGAUCGGCUAACUCCGUGCCAGCAGCCGCGGUAAUACGGAGGAUCCGAGCGUUAUCCGGAUUUAUUGGGUUUAAAGGGAGCGUAGAUGGGUUGUUAAGUCAGUUGUGAAAGUUUGCGGCUCAACCGUAAAAUUGCAAUUGAUACUGGCAGUCUUGAGUACAGUUGAGGUAGGCGGAAUUCGUGGUGUAGCGGUGAAAUGCUUAGAUAUCACGAAGAACUCCGAUUGCGAAGGCAGCUUACUAAACUGCCACUGACAUUGAUGCUCGAAAGUGUGGGUAUCAAACAGGAUUAGAUACCCGUGUAGUC